Long non-coding RNA from Pezoporus occidentalis (night parrot), 885 nucleotides. RefSeq lists it as uncharacterized. The transcript has 2 exons. NCBI's taxonomy places the organism in Eukaryota, Metazoa, Chordata, Aves, Psittaciformes, Psittacidae. The record is from RefSeq and is a predicted model, not a curated record.
GGUAGACUCAAGUUCUGACUCUAGGGACAGAGAUCUGUUGAAGUAAGAUCUGACAUUUUGCCCUGAAAGUGUAAAGGAUUUUUUGAGAUUACAAAUGCUUUUACUUGGAAUGCUCUCAGCUUCCUCAGAACAGAUGGGUCUCGCCAAAAACAGAGCCAAAGCAGGCAGCCGGUGUAACUCAUCUCUUAAUACGCAGCCAGGUAACUUUUAAUUUUCCCUUCACUCACUAACUGACUGUAGAAGUUGGAGUGAUUAAGAGUAACUAAGUGAGGCUUAUCCAUUUUGUACUUUACAGACAAUAUUCUUUUGAAUACACGAACUACAUCAGGAGUCAGAGAAGCACAAGAAAUUCAGUGAAAGGGCUUUCAGAGAUGAAUUCACAAUUUCCUGCUCAGACUUGGUCCUUACCAGCUGGAAUUUGGGGUUCCAGGAGAAGGGCAGGUCCCCAGGAGCACAGAAAGGCAGAGCUUCUGCUGGCUGCCCGUUGCCUUUUCCACUACAAUCACAGUGAAAGACAAGCAACAUGCAGCAUCCAUCAGGAGAUGCCUCUCCCCAGGACAGCCCUGGAGCAACCAACAAACCCCUAUCGACCGCUGCCUAAACACAUAGCAGGUGAACAGAGCGCCUCUUGAGGAACAUGAGAAGGAUGCAGAUCUGACAGCGCAGACUUCACCAUCGCCUUGUCCUUUUUUAUUUUCCCCAUCUGCUCUUAUGCUGAAUAGUUCCUGUGUGACAUGGGGGUAAUGUUUCUGAGUGUGAUCUGGCAGCCUUGAAGAUUCAAAAUACAUCUCAAAUAAUUUUUCUCCAGGGUUAGUAUUCUUUAUUUUCCUUGUUGCUUUCAUGUGCUUUUCUUGGGAAUUUCAAAUGUUUUUGUGAAAAUAAUAA